AUCCCAGGAGCUUGCUCCUGGGUGAGAGUGGCGAACGGGUGAGUAAUGCGUGACCGACCUGCCCCAUACACCGGAAUAGCUCCUGGAAACGGGUGGUAAUGCCGGAUGCUCCAGUUGAAUGCAUGGCCUUCUGGGAAAGAUUUUGCGGUAUGGGAUGGGGUCGCGUCCUAUCAGCUUGAUGGCGGGGUAACGGCCCACCAUGGCUUCGACGGGUAGCCGGCCUGAGAGGGCGACCGGCCACAUUGGGACUGAGAUACGGCCCAGACUCCUACGGGAGGCAGCAGUGGGGAAUAUUGCACAAUGGGCGCAAGCCUGAUGCAGCGACGCCGCGUGCGGGAUGACGGCCUUCGGGUUGUAAACCGCUUUUGACUGGGAGCAAGCCCUUCGGGGUGAGUGUACCUUUCGAAUAAGCACCGGCUAACUACGUGCCAGCAGCCGCGGUAAUACGUAGGGUGCAAGCGUUAUCCGGAAUUAUUGGGCGUAAAGGGCUCGUAGGCGGUUCGUCGCGUCCGGUGUGAAAGUCCAUCGCUUAACGGUGGAUCCGCGCCGGGUACGGGCGGGCUUGAGUGCGGUAGGGGAGACUGGAAUUCCCGGUGUAACGGUGGAAUGUGUAGAUAUCGGGAAGAACACCAAUGGCGAAGGCAGGUCUCUGGGCCGUCACUGACGCUGAGGAGCGAAAGCGUGGGGGAGCGAACAGGAUUAUAUACCCUGGUAAUCCACGCCGUAAACGGUGGAUG
Molecule: ribosomal RNA, 737 nt
Filed under: Bifidobacterium adolescentis
Lineage: Bacteria; Bacillati; Actinomycetota; Actinomycetes; Bifidobacteriales; Bifidobacteriaceae
Description: bacterial SSU rRNA
Rfam family: Bacterial small subunit ribosomal RNA
Source: RNAcentral